GAUGAUGGGAAUGUUGUUUGGCUCGAGGUAACUGCAUGGUCUUAAUUUUGUUCAUCUUUUGAAGCUUUAAUUUAUUUAUGGGUUUCAAUCUUUUUUGAUCCCUUGAAACAGAAAAAGCUUUAAAGGUUGGAUUUUGAGGCUAUCCCUUUAUGUGAUCUCGGACCAGGCUUCAUUCCCGUCAAC
This is a non-coding RNA of Glycine soja, 183 nucleotides long. The record is from Rfam. Lineage: Eukaryota; Viridiplantae; Streptophyta; Magnoliopsida; Fabales; Fabaceae.